This 525-nucleotide ribosomal RNA is filed under the name uncultured bacterium. Its description in RNAcentral is "bacterial SSU rRNA". It matches the Rfam family "Bacterial small subunit ribosomal RNA", at positions 28 to 526 of the family's 1533-position model. The record is from RNAcentral.
GACGAACGCUGGCGGCGUGCCUAAUACAUGCAAGUCGAACGCUUUUUCUUUCACCGGAGCUUGCUCCACCGAAAGAAAAGGAGUGGCGAACGGGUGAGUAACACGUGGGUAACCUACCCUCCAGCGGGGGAUAACACUUGGAAACAGGUGCUAAUACCGCAUAAUAGAGAAAACCGCCUGGUUUUCUUUUGAAAGGCGCAAUUGCGUCACUGGAGGAUGGACCCGCGGUGCAUUAGCUAGUUGGUGAGGUAACGGCUCACCAAGGCAACGAUGCAUAGCCGACCUGAGAGGGUGAUCGGCCACAUUGGGACUGAGACACGGCCCAAACUCCUACGGGAGGCAGCAGUAGGGAAUCUUCGGCAAUGGACGAAAGUCUGACCGAGCAACGCCGCGUGAGUGAAGAAGGUUUUCGGGUCGUAAAGCACUGUUGUAUGGGAAGAACGGGUUUAAGAGGAAAUGCUUAAGCAGUGACGGUACCAUACCAGAAAGGGACGGCUAAAUACGUGCCAGCCGCCGCCGUAACAC